Musa acuminata subsp. malaccensis (wild Malaysian banana) is the source of this 868-nucleotide non-coding RNA. The record is from RefSeq and is a predicted model, not a curated record. NCBI's taxonomy places the organism in Eukaryota, Viridiplantae, Streptophyta, Magnoliopsida, Zingiberales, Musaceae.
CAGAUCUGGAAACCUCGAACUUGACGAGCGAAGGAACCGGAGGGGGCGGUCGACGGCGGAGUCGCCGAUGCGAUCCUCGCCAAGUCGAAGCAGUUCGAUCGACUCGUACUGGCAAUAUCACUGAAGACCAGAUGUUGACGGUAGAUGGCCAUCCAAUUACUUUUUAUUAUCUUGUAAAGAGCCGCUGGCAAUGCAUGCUCAAACUCCUAGAAGCAGAGAUGAUAGACUCGAACAAUUUCAUCAAGGAAUUGAAUGCCUUAACGAAGAAACAGUAAAGAUAGCAAUGCUGGUGACAGCGCGGCUCUUUGUGAACCGGUGGCUUGGGAAAAGAGUAGCGGUCGGGACCCCACAAGUUUACAAGACCGGGCGGUGGCCGCACAUCCGACAACAUCUUGUCACGGCGCCAUGAGAUUUUUCUCGAGAUAUCAGGCGGUCCUGCUUGGGUCUCAGAUCCAACGACGGUGUUUGCGCACAGUCCAUGACCAUGGGGGUCCUCCGCCAUCACAUGGAGGUGGAUCGUCGUUUUCAGCUAGGUUGGCUGAAUCGAUCGGACACCAGCCAUGGCCUUCUUCUACUGAGAAGGCGUUUUCUUUUUGUUGUGGAUAUAUUAUGAUUGGCACUAUCACGAUGGUGCAAACAAAUAUCUAUCACGCCAGACAUAUUUGCACCUGUCGGAUCUUAUAACGUUGGCUUAAGAGACUUAUUAGGUUUGGAUCAUAUGAGUAGACAAAUAAUAAAUAUCGUAAUCAAAUUUCACCGGAUCUAAGAGUGAAAUUUACAAGUAUCAAAUAUAUUAUCAUCAUUCAUUCUGAGAUGAUAAUAAAUUUGCAAAGUUUUGAAGGUACUAUGGGUGAGAUAUAUAAUUCGA